UACGUAGGGGGCAAGCGUUGUCCGGAUUUAUUGGGCGUAAAGAGCGUGUAGGCGGCCAUGCAGGUCCGUUGUGAAAACUCGAGGCCCAACCUCGAGACGUCGAUGGAAACCUCAUGGCUAGAGUCCGGAAGAGGAGAGCGGAAUUCCUGGUGUAGCGGUGAAAUGCGCAGAUAUCAGGAAGAACACCCGUGGCGAAGGCGGCUCUCUGGGACGGUACUGACACUCAGGGACGAAAGCUAGGGGAGCGAAUGGG
Molecule: ribosomal RNA, 253 nt
Filed under: uncultured bacterium
Lineage: Bacteria
Description: partial 16S ribosomal RNA
Rfam family: Bacterial small subunit ribosomal RNA
Source: RNAcentral